GGUUCCUACGGGACGCAGCAGUGGGGAAUAUUGGGCAAUGGGCGCAAGCCUGACCCAGCAACGCCGCGUGAAGGAAGAAGGCUUUCGGGUUGUAAGCUUCUUUUCUCAGGGACGAAGAAAGUGACGGUACCUGAGGAAUAAGCCACGGCUAACUACGUGCCAGCAGCCGCGGUAAUACGUAGGUGGCAAGCGUUAUCCGGAUUUAUUGGGUGUAAAGGGCGUGUAGGCGGGGGCGCAAGACGGAUGUGAAAACUCAAG
This 258-nucleotide ribosomal RNA is filed under the name uncultured bacterium. RNAcentral describes it as "partial 16S ribosomal RNA". It matches the Rfam family "Bacterial small subunit ribosomal RNA", at positions 334 to 606 of the family's 1533-position model. The record is from RNAcentral.